UCCUAUUCAGUCUUCAGCGCAGUCAGUUC
Molecule: non-coding RNA, 29 nt
Filed under: Mus musculus (house mouse)
Lineage: Eukaryota; Metazoa; Chordata; Mammalia; Rodentia; Muridae
Source: RNAcentral